This 21-nucleotide microRNA is filed under the name Ectocarpus siliculosus. RNAcentral describes it as "esi-miR3454c-5p". The record is from miRBase by way of RNAcentral. Lineage: Eukaryota; Phaeophyceae; Ectocarpales; Ectocarpaceae.
UUCCCAGCUCCGACGGGAUGG